GUUAAUGACCCAUCGUCCGUCUCACCUUCACUGCAAGAAAUCGACGAUGUCCGCCGCAUUGUCGUCGAAGGUGCGACCCAUUUCUUCAUGCUCUUUAUCUUCCUCCUUGUAGUUGCAGCAUCGGAGCUGGUUGUUUGAGAUGGUUGCGUUUUGUUCUAGAUUUGAGAAAUGGGUUUUGUUGUUUUUUCCAUAUCUAAAAAAUGGUGUACUCGUUGUUGCCAUGGAAGGAAGAGUCGCUGCACUUUGAUGUUGUCGUCGGUGUCUUCAUUCAAUGUCGUUAGUGGUUGCAGUGGUGUCGUUGUCGUUAGCUCAUGUGGCGGUGGAGCGGUGGUUCAUUGAUGUCGUGCGGUGGGUCGACGCCGCUUGGUGGGUCAUCGUCGCAGUGUUGCGGCGGUGCGGUGGUUCCUCCACGCGGGGAUGCUAGUGUCGCAGAAAGAGAAAGGGAAAAUGAUAGAGAAGGUACCAAAGGAAGAAAGGUACACAUCAAUGCUUAGCUGGUAAAGUUGGUGUGGACUAGUACAAAAGAAAACACUUAUAACAUAGGAAUUUUACGUAGGCUAUUCAAAAAAAUCCUUGUUCCACCAAUCAUCUAAUGCCAUGUUAAGUCUUGGCAUAACAUCAUAAUAGAUCACAUUGACUAGAUUGUGUUUCUCACCAUCAAGAGAUGAGAGAAAGGAGACAUAGUUUGAAUCCGCGGCGACGAUAGGAGAAGAGAAUUAGAGAGGUUAUUGGAGAAGGGAGCCAAAGGGGAGAUACAGAAACCACGUUGUUUUUUUUUUUAUUAUUUUUUACUUAUGGCACAAUAACAAUGUUAAAACGUGGGAAUUUGAAAUAUAAUUUUUUUAA
Long non-coding RNA from Glycine soja, 846 nucleotides. RefSeq lists it as uncharacterized. The transcript has 2 exons. The record is from RefSeq and is a predicted model, not a curated record. NCBI's taxonomy places the organism in Eukaryota, Viridiplantae, Streptophyta, Magnoliopsida, Fabales, Fabaceae.